AUAUAUAUAUAUAUAUAGCUGAAAGAUGUACAGCUGUGUAUGUGAAACAUCUACAUACCAGCACCACAAGGCCACACUACAGAUAACCUAUCGAUAAAACUGCAUGAUAUAUUAAUGUUCAGUUUCUAGAACUAGGAGGUGUGUAUACAGAUUUUCUGUCUAAAGGCGUUUUUUUUGGGGUGGUGCAUUUACAGUCCAGAAUAUAUGGUAGCUGAUGAGGGGUGUAAUAAGAAACCGAACGAAGAAAUCAAAAUAGGCUUGUGCGAUAUGGCGAUUUAAUCGUCUCUACACGAUAGAACACCUCCACGACGUCCAGUGACGUUUAUUCCGAUGAUACUACAAGGCCCGCCAUCCUUUUACGUAUUUUUACGUAGAAGCGCCUCAAUUAAACAUCGGAGUACGCUGUUACGAGUUCUCAUCCCAAAAAUGCACCAAAGGAGUAAUAAAUAAAACGACAGACGCGUCAAGUGAAAUAUUAAUCUGCCACGAUCGCCUCUGCCACCAAGCAGUUCCUGACUACACUGCUGAUAAUACUAUUACGCCCCUCCUCUCGUCCCUGUAAAACUGUAAUGGUGGACAUGCUCGUUUUCCUGUCUUGAUCGGAUUUUUCUACAGUCACAUACAGGGUUUCGGUUCCUUUUACAGUUGUCGACGUUGCCUCAGAUUGCUAGCAUGGUAUCAUGCCUUUUACAUAUUAAAAUGUAUCUGCGUAAUGGUUAGAGCUGGUGUUUGCUCUUCUAUAUGCUAAAUAAGCCAAAGAACAUGCAAUACACAUUUGCCAGCUUUCACCUUGGUUUGUUUGGCAGUGGUGUUAAAAGCACCUUUUAUUAUAAGCCCAGGUGAAUAAGAUUGUGCCUUAAGCUCGGUGCGGAAGUGUUUAUUUCUUAAUCUGAUGCACUUUUGUAGAAAUGAAUGUUUGUUGUAUUCACCACAUUUUCAUGUUUGUUUCGUUUUUUUAUCGGCCAAAGUUUGAAUAAUGUGAAAUCUGUUUCACUUUAAUUUAUAUCCCAGUGUCUUUUUUUUUUUUUUUUUUUUUUUUUUUGGUUCUGGUUCAUACACAAAUAUUCUGUAUGUAUAAAUAUAUUUUUAUAUCAAUUUUUAUAUAUGGAGAUAGAUGGAUGUCUUUUGGAAUACGAAACAUGAGACGAGACGGGUGUUCGAAACCCAAAACAAAGAGAAACUAUGUUAGCAGCUGGUUUUGCAAAGACAUUUCUGAGUGGAAAAGGCGCUCUGGUUGUUCAACCCAAGCAGAAAGGCUGAGUGUAUGUGUGUCUUAGUGUGUGUGUGUGUGUGUGUGUGUGUGUGUGGCCCUGGGGAAGAGACUGAUCAUGAGAUCAUGAUUCUGACUUGCAGAUGGGAGUUAUAAUUGGCGCGCACACACACACACAUGCACAAACAGUGCCUUUAAUAGAUAACUUGCACAGAAGGUUAUUGCACCUGUUGGAUAAUUUAGGAAGUCGAGAAGCAGACAGAAGAGAGUGAGAGAUUUGAUCGGUUUUAGAAAGCGAGGCGCCUUUUGAUCACGUCCUUAGUAUUAUCAGGUUCUAUCUGAGAGAUUUUGAUACAUCUCUUUGACUUAAUCUCAUUAGAGGUCGACCGAUAUUGGAUUUUACAGAUACCGAUAGCCAAGUUGUGCAGUACCUGCUGAUGACCGUUUAAUCAACCGAUAGUUUUCAAAACGGAUACCGAAUGAAAACAUAACACUCAAAGUAAAAUAUUGCUGAACUUUAUUAGAAAAAUAAACAGUACUGACCCUACAAUGAAAAUGUACUACUUAAAAAUAUAAAACAAAUAUGUAAAUAUGAAUAUAUUAACUAUUAAUAUUAAUAGAUAAAAUAUGUAGAUCCAGACUGAACCAAAAAGUAACGCUCCAAAUAGCAAAUCAAAAUAGAGACAUCCCAAGUGAUUAAAAACAAACAAACAAACAAAAAAAACACUUCAAAUAUCACAACAAAAUUUGUCAGUGAUAGUUUUUAUUUCGCCUCUAGAGGCCGCUCUCGUACUGUAUAACGACAGCGGACCGUUCUCAGCCGCUCCCGCAGCGGACGCAACCGAGAAAAACUAUCGGUGUGGAUUUUUGACCUCUAAAUCUCAUUAGAUAAUUGUUAAAUGCAAACAAACUCGGUAGGCAAAGACAUUUUGAGUUUAUUAAGGUAUGACAUCACAUUCGUGUGGAUUUUCCCUUCAUUUUCUCCCUAAUUUGCUCACUUUCCAAUUCCCUUCCACCAACCACCUCUCCCCUGAGUGCUUCCUCUAGUAAAUGUGAAGCCACAUUCACAACCGCAUCUUCUCGAACUUCUACUUCAUAGAAGCAGGCAGAGUCGCACACUCAGUGGAAACCGCUAUGGCUACGAUUGGCUAGUAUCACUGUGACUGAUACCAUGUCGUCCCUCCUACCCAGAGAGCCCAAUUGUGUUCUCUUGGCUCCCAGCUCCCAUGGAUGACUGUACCAUCAGUGAGAUCCGUACUCGUGAUCUCCGGACGAUACGGCGAACGCGUUUCUCUUGCUCCGGGCAAACACAUCUACUAGCCAAGUUUCAGUCCUGGUUACACUGGAAAUUUCAGUUUAUUAAGCACAUUGCUUGUAUCUAAUCACGGUAAUUUUUCAUCCUAAUGUUAUGAGAUGUUAACCAGUAUAUUAGCUUUCUUCUGCGCUGAAGACGUUCUAACAUCCCAGAACAGUUAUAUACUGUAAAAGCAGCAAGUACAGUAAUGUACUGUUCCUGAUUUGUACACUUAAGUUGUAUUACUCAUUCCCUCCAGGAUUUUGCCAUCGCAGAAAUUAACGCAAAAUCAAGCAAACUUUGCAAUAUUCGGAGGAGCUUGCAAUUUAAAAAAAAAUCACUGCAGAUUUUCGCCAGAUUUGGCACAAGAUGUGACAUCAUCACAGCAAGCGUUCAGCCAAAGCUCUGUUUGAUUCACGAGCGUUGAUCACGAGUACAGCUAAAAGGUCUCAUUUACAAGCAAACAUCGCUGCGAAUGACAAUUUCUUGCAAUUGCAAUUUUGCCAAUUUAAGUUGUUUUCCGCAAAAUAAAGCACAAAAAACGCUCCAAAUUGCAAAAAAAAUUUUUUUUAAAUGACGCAACACAAUCAAGCCUUGACUCAUGGAGUAAUUGUAUAACCUCCUCCAUCCUCAACUGCUUAUCCGUUAUCGGGUCGCGGGGGCAGCAGCUCUAGCAGGGGACCCCAAACUUCCCUUUCCUGAGCCUCAUUAACCAGCUCUGACUGGGGGAUCCCGAGGCGUUCCCAGGCCAGUGUGGAGAUAUAAUCUCUCCACCUGGUUCUGGGUCUUCCCCGAGGUCUCCUCCCAGCUGGACGUGCCUGGAACACCUCCCUAGGGAGGCGCCCAGGGGGCAUCCUUACCAGGUGCCCGAACCACCUCAACUGGCUCUUUUCAACGCAAAGGAGCAGCAGCUCUACUCUGAGUUCCUCUCGGAUAACCGAGCUUCUCACCCUAUCUCUAAGGGAGAGACCAGCCACCCUCCUGAGAAAACCCAUUUCGGCCGCUUGUACCCGCGAUCUUUUCGUCACAACGGUGCAGUGAAGCGAUUGCAAUACCACUCCCACUGCUCCGAUUGUAGAACAUAUCCAGCUAAAAAUUGACUUUCUCCAUUGUGUGUAGAACAUGGAUAUUGGUUGGUCAAAGCAGUCUAUGUUCAUCCUGAAUGAUGAUUGGCUGGCAGACAGACAGAACCUUGUAAUACUGAGGUCACGAAACUGUAACGACGUGAACGUGAAAGAUGAACGUGUUGCGACACGGGUGGACGCCAGAGCGCCAGGUUUUCCUCUCAGCUCGACGGCUUUGUUUAGCUCAGGGUUCGAGUGACACGUGCCCAUCACAGGGGCACACAAAUUGUCUGACCAAUCCCUGUCAGUGUUUCGAUCUCCUUCAAUCAGGAUGGCUGCUAUUUUGUUUUUGGCAGCUAGCUAUCAGUAUUUUAAAAAGUCUAUUCAUCAAAGAAUUUCAGUGUUUUAUUUGCUCGUGUUGUGAAUUGUGAGAACCCUGAGGUAAGCAAAAGACUAUGAAGCAAUAGUUGAAUUAUAUAUGAUGAUGUAUCAUGACAUAGGACUUGCAGUGCAAAGUCUAAUGUAUCAAAGUCAUUUACAAUAAAAAAGAACUGUAUGCUCUCAAACUGUUUUUUCCUCUUCAGUCAAUAUAGAAUUAUUUCAAUGAUUUCAGGUACGUGUCACACCAACUGUGUUUAUAAACACUAAUUACAGCAAUUAUCACUGAAUUGUUUCAAAGGCAAAAAUCCACUUGGAAAUGUUUACGAUUGCAUGUUCUACUUUUAGUCUAAACAAAUGCCUAAUUAUCUGAGUAGUUCAGAUAAAUUUUCAUGUCCGAAAAAUGAUGACAUUUAAGUAGUUACUUUUCCAGGCAGUUUGCAUGUUCUCCUCGUGUUUUUCAGGGGUUUCCUCCGGGUACUCCGGUUUCCUCACCCAGUCCAUGUGCUGGUGCACAGUUAGGGAUGUCACAAGAACCAAUACUUCAGUACCAAGUCGAUACCAACAUUCUUAAAAGGUGACGGUACUUGUUUUUCUGCAGUAGUGAUGGUACCGUUGGUAAUGAAGUUACCGCGGUUGUAAUUCUUCCGGAAAUGAAGGGGGCAGCAAAUACGCGGAAGUGUUUUAGUCGGUCCAUAAGUGUUAAUGAAGAAGAAGGACACCUAUAAGCAUACGGGAAAAACUACAGAAGACAGUGCCAAGUUUAGCUCCGCCCUGACUCUUUGAGAGGAAAGGUGGUAAGAGUCAAGUAUGUAAAUACUUCGCAUUCGAGGCGGAUGACAACAAACAUAUAAUUGAUGCUGUGUAGCCGGUGUGCGACCGAUGCUAUCGUUCAUUUCAAACAAAGCGAGGAAACAUCUGGAAUCUGGCGAAGCACAAUUAUCAUGUACGUUUGGUGGUAUCGGUACCGACUACUAGAUUUUUGGUAUCAUGACAUCCCUAGUCCGCAGUGUGCGAUUGUGCCCUGCGAUGUUUUGGAACCCCAUCCAGGGUGUCCCCCGCCUCGUGCCCCGAGUCAUGUGGGAUAGGCUCCAGGCUCCUCCACGACCCUCUGUAUAAUAUGCAAUAUGGAAAAUGGAUGGAUUGAUGGAUGAAUGGACAUUUCCAGUCCUUAUUGGAGUCACUUUUUCAAAUUGAAGUCUCAAGUUGAUGUUUGUUCAGCCAUAUAAAUGGCUAUUAUGUUUUACCCUAUGUAGUGAUCAUAUAUAGUAAACAGUAAAAAAAAAUAAUUGAAAAAAACACAUUUUGGUUUAGAUCCAAGGUGCCAACAUUUUAUGGUUUAGCUGUAGCAUUU
Molecule: long non-coding RNA, 5300 nt
Organism: Ictalurus punctatus (channel catfish)
Lineage: Eukaryota; Metazoa; Chordata; Actinopteri; Siluriformes; Ictaluridae
Source: Ensembl